CCUACGGGCGGCAGCAGUGGGGAAUAUUGCACAAUGGGGGAAACCCUGAUGCAGCCACGCCGCGUGAGUGAAGAAGUAUUUCGGUAUGGAAAGCUCUAUCAGCAGGGAAGAAAAAAGACGGUACCUGACUCAGAAGCCCCGGCUAACUACGUGCCAGCAGCCGCGGUAAUACGUAGGGGGCAAGCGUUAUCCGGAUUUACUGGGUGUAAAGGGAGCGUAGACGGCAUAGCAAGUCUGAAGUGAAAGCCCGUGGCUCAACCGCGGAACUGCUUUGGAAACUGUUCAGCUGGAGUACUGGAGAGGCAAGCGGAAUUCGUAGUGUAGCGGUGAAAUGCGUAGAUAUUAGGAAGAACACCAGUGGCGAAGGCGGCUUGCUGGACAGACACUGACGUUGAGGCUCGAAAGCGUGGGGAGCAAACAGGAUUAGAUACCCGAGUAGUC
This 441-nucleotide ribosomal RNA is filed under the name uncultured bacterium. Its description in RNAcentral is "partial 16S ribosomal RNA". It matches the Rfam family "Bacterial small subunit ribosomal RNA", at positions 338 to 795 of the family's 1533-position model. The record is from RNAcentral.